CUCCUCUACUGUCAUAUAUUCUCCCUGGCUCUUGACGUGAACACAAGCCCAGUCUCGAGAUCCAACAUAUGUUAGCUUGUUUUGUAUCCAUGGCUAGAACCUGCAGAGUAAAGUUCUAUGACAGGUGGCAUGUGAGGAUCACGGUGCAGACCCAAUGAGCCCAGAAAUGCAGCCCAGUGGACAGAAUGCAGCUUCCUUCCCCUGCUUUCCAGAGCUCAUCAAAUGGUGCCGUCAUGCCAGCAUUGAUUGUGAACAGAUUUCAGGUACUUCACCUCCAUGACCCCCUCGGAUCAGUGUGACAAUCACUAUUCCCGUUGGAGAGAUAACGGGACUCACAGGGAUAGCAGGAUUUUCUCCAAUAGAGCAGCUAUCGCUUAGUCAACCCUGUUAAUUUAGAAAUAAACUCUUCUUGCUCUCUCCUUCAACACAGAUUUGUCACCUGUGUUCUUUUACAUAGAUCACAGGCUUAAUCGGAUUCUCCAAUAACAUUAAAAAGGAAAGAAAAUAUGUAGUGAUGCAUAUGGGGAAUUUGCAGAAUGUUAAUCCAUUCUCAUACAUUCAGCUCAUCACCCCAGUCAUAGGUAAGAAAGAACAUAUACACCUGUAUUUAUAUGCUCAAAACACUACACUUUCUUUUAAAAUGAAUAAAAAAAUUUUAGACCUUUGUAAGCUUGAAUAUUACAUGUGCAUUAAAGAGAUAAUACUACGGGGUGCCUGGGUAGCUCAGUCAUUUACAUGUCAGACUUUUGAUCUCAGCACAGGUCUUGAUGUCGGUGUCAUGAGUUCAAGCCCGGCAUUGCGCUCCAUGCUGGGCAUGGAACCUACUUUUAAAAAGAGAGGGAGAGAGAGAGAAUACUAGGAACCUAACCCCCAAAUGGAAACAUAUAUCCAGACAAGACUUGAAUGUGAAUAUUAUUCACAGUAGCACAAAAGUGAAAAUGACCCAAGUGGUCAUCAGUGGGCAAAUGAAUGAAGGAAAUGGUAUAUUCAUAUAUGGAAUGCUAUUCAGUAAUGGAAAGGAAUGCAGUACCAAUCCAAAGCAUGGGGAAAUCUGAAAGGGAUUAUGUUAAGUGAGAGAAGUUGGUCACAAAAGUUACACACAUUACAACUCCAUUUAUAUGAAAUACCCAGAGAAGGCAUAGGGAAAGAAAGUAGAUCAGUGGUUGUGGGGUUGUGGGGUGAGAAUGCAGAGUACAUACAAGGAGACACAUGCUUUCUUUGGAGGAUGACUUAAAUGUUCUAAAAUUAGACAGGUGGUGGUUGC
Long non-coding RNA from Canis lupus familiaris (dog), 1264 nucleotides. RefSeq lists it as uncharacterized. Lineage: Eukaryota; Metazoa; Chordata; Mammalia; Carnivora; Canidae. The transcript has 4 exons. The record is from RefSeq and is a predicted model, not a curated record.